This 491-nucleotide ribosomal RNA is filed under the name uncultured bacterium. Its description in RNAcentral is "partial 16S ribosomal RNA". It matches the Rfam family "Bacterial small subunit ribosomal RNA", at positions 28 to 507 of the family's 1533-position model. The record is from RNAcentral.
GAUGAACGCUAGCGAUAGGCUUAACACAUGCCAGUCGAGGGGUAACGUGUUGGGAGCUUGCUUCCGAUGACGACGACCGGCGGAUGGGUGCGUAACGCGUAUGCAACUUGCCUCACAGUGGAGAAUAACCCGGAGAAAUCCGGACUAAUACUCCAUACACUCUUAAGUACGCCUGUACAUGAGAGGAAAGAUUUAUCGCUGUGAGAUAGGCAUGCGUCCUAUUAGGUAGUUGGUGAGGUAACGGCUCACCAAGCCGACGAUAGGUAGGGGUGCUGAGAGGCAGAUCCCCCACAUUGGGACUGAGACACGGCCCAAACUCCUACGGGAGGCAGCAGUGAGGAAUAUUGGUCAAUGGAGGAAACUCUGAACCAGCCAAGUCGCGUGAAGGAAGAAUGUCCUAAGGAUUGUAAACUUCUUUAGCGAGCGAGUAAGGACUUCCACGUGAUGGGAGUUUGAAAGUAGCUCGAGAAUAAGUAUCGGCUAACUCCGUG